RNAcentral lists this unclassified non-coding RNA (302 nucleotides) under Hevea brasiliensis (rubber tree). Lineage: Eukaryota; Viridiplantae; Streptophyta; Magnoliopsida; Malpighiales; Euphorbiaceae. The record is from RNAcentral.
GUUGUUUCAAUGAGUAGCAGUGGUUUAAGCUUAACCUUUCAAGUUUUGUUAAGCGAAAUAUACUUGAAGGCAAAUUCACUAUAGCAGUCUCAUCUAAUAGAAGUUCUUGUAAAGACUUCAUCUUGCCUAUAUCUUCAGGUAUCUGUUUCAACUUCGUGCAACCCGAGAGUAUCAGCUUUUUAAGAUUUUUCAGCCCAGAGACCUCACCUGGAAAUUCAACAAGGUUGCGGCAAUCUCUUAGAUUUAAAUGACGUAAAGUUGUCAAAUUCCCAACUGUUUUGUGAAUCCUUUGCAAGUUGCUG